UUAUCUCUGUAGAGUCUGCAUAUCAAUAAGCGGAGGAAAAGAAACUAACUAGGAUUCCCUCAGUAACGGCGAGUGAAGCGGGAAGAGCUCAAAUUUGAAAUCUUCAAGGUUUUACCUUGACGAAUUGUAGUUUAAAGAAGUGUUUUCUGUUGGAGUUUUGGUAAAAGUUCUUUGGAAUAGGACAUCAUAGAGGGUGAGAAUCCCGUAUUUGACCAUUAUUUUCAGCUGUGUGAUACACUUUCAAAGAGUCGGAUUGUUUGGGAAUGCAGUCCAAAAUGGGUGGUAAAUUUCAUCUAAAGCUAAAUAUUGGCGAGAGACCGAUAGCGAACAAGUACCGUGAGGGAAAGAUGAAAAGAACUUUGAAAAGAGAGUUAAACAGUACGUGAAAUUGUCAAAAGGGAAGCGUUUGACACCAGUGUUGUUUUCUCGAAAAUCAAUUAAAAAUGGCCGGAUUUUGUGUUGUAUUGACCUUAAAAGCUUUCUUCACUCUUUUCUUGUCUUUUUUAAUGCACUUUUCGUUUAACAAGUCAACAUCAGUUUCUUUUGUUGUAAAAGGGUCAUUGGAAGGUGGCUUUCUUUUCGGAGAAAGUGUUUAUAGCCUUUGGCCUCUGCAAUCGGAGAGAUUGAGGUCUGCAGCGUAGAUCCUUCGGGGUUAGAUACAUUUGUGCUAAGUUAUAGCCUUUCAUAGACAACUUGUUGACUAUGAUCAGUCAUGUAGCUUACUCGCUUAUGCUAUUUUACCUACGCUUAGGAUGUUGAGUAGCGACAUACGCAC
RNAcentral lists this ribosomal RNA (775 nucleotides) under uncultured Neocallimastigales. RNAcentral's name for it is "partial large subunit ribosomal RNA". It matches the Rfam family "Eukaryotic large subunit ribosomal RNA", at positions 24 to 649 of the family's 3401-position model. Lineage: Eukaryota; Fungi; Neocallimastigomycota; Neocallimastigomycetes; Neocallimastigales. The record is from RNAcentral.